GAGAACGAAGGUGGGUGAGGCAUUUCCCUCCCACGCCGAAGGCCUCCGGGAAUAGAAAUACCGGGUAAAUAUCCACUGGCCAGUUCAAACUUCUCAGGCAUGGGCAAGGUUGCAGUCUCCCUUACUGCAGGCAGCAAUGACUUUAGCAACAGGACCAACACACCCAUGCUCCUGAAAGAUGAGACUCGCAGAGCCCGGCCCGAGACUGCACCCAGCCGUCCAAGGCUGACCAUGCUUCCCACCCGGCCCUCCCCACGCCGGCUCGGACUUCGGGCAUUUUCUCUCCUCCUUUCCUCCCUGGUGAUCUGAGGCCGGCUCUGUCGGGGGAGUGUUCUUCCUCUUUGCAGUGAGUCCAAUAAACUCAGCUUUGCCUGAACAACAGGUUUUUCUGGUGGUGAUUUUGGGGAGUCUACAGCCAACAGCUGAAAUUGGGAAAACGGGGCGGGGGUGGGGAAUCCCUUUUUGUUUUUUGUUUUUAUUUUUUACAGUAAAGUGAAAGCAAGUUUAUUAGGAAGAUAGAGGAAUAAAAGAAUGGCUGCUCCAUAGACAGGGCAGCUGGGAAUCCCUUUUAGCACCUGGUGGCUGCAGAUGGGUAGAAAUACAGACCAUAUUUGGUUCUUAGUUUAAUUAGCCAGAGACGC
This 641-nucleotide long non-coding RNA is filed under the name Homo sapiens (human). RNAcentral describes it as "HSALNT0287648". Lineage: Eukaryota; Metazoa; Chordata; Mammalia; Primates; Hominidae. The record is from RNAcentral.